UCUGACGGAGCAACGCCGCUGGAGUGAUGAAGGUUUUCGGAUCGUAAAGCUCUGUUGUUAGGGAAGAACAAGUACCGUUCGAAUAGGGCGGUACCUUGACGGUACCUACCCAGAAAGCCACGGCUAACUACGUGCCCGCAGCCGCGGUAAUACGUAGGUGGCAAGCGUUGUCCGGAAUUAUUGGGCGUAAAGGGCUCGCAGGCGGUUUCUUAAGUCUGAUGUGAAAGUCCCCGGCUCAACCGGGGAGGGUCAUUGGAAACUGGGGAACUUGAGUGCAGAAGAGGAGAGUGGAAUUCCACGUGUAGCGGUGAAAUGCGUAGAGAUGUGGAGGAACACCAGUGGCGAAGGCGACUCUCUGGUCUGUAACUGACGCUGAGGAGCGAAAGCGUGGGGAGCGAACAGGAUUAGAUACCCUGGUAGUCCACGCCGUAAACGAUGAGUGCUAAGUGUUAGGGGGUUUCCGCCCCUUAGUGCUGCAGCUAACGCAUUAAGCACUCCGCCUGGGGAGUACGGUCGCAAGACUGAAACUCAAAGGAAUUGACGGGGGCCCGCACAAGCGGUGGAGCAUGUGGUUUAAUUCGAAGCAACGCGAAGAACCUUACCAGGUCUUGACAUCCUCUGACAAUCCUAGAGAUAGGACGUCCCCUUCGGGGGCAGAGUGACAGGUGGUGCAUGGUUGUCGUCAGCUCGUGUCGUGAGAUGUUGGGUUAAGUCCCGCAACGAGCGCAACCCUUGAUCUUAGUUGCCAGCAUUCAGUUGGGCACUCUAAGGUGACUGCCGGUGACAAACCGGAGGAAGGUGGGGAUGACGUCAAAUCAUCAUGCCCCUUAUGACCUGGGCUACACACGUGCUACAAUGGACAGAACAAAGGGCAGCGAAACCGCGAGGUUAAGCCAAUCCCACAAAUCUGUUCUCAGUUCGGAUCGCAGUCUGCAACUCGACUGCGUGAAGCUGGAAUCGCUAGUAAUCGCGGAUCAGCAUGCCGCGGUGAAUACGUUCCCGGGCCUUGUACACACCGCCCGUCACACCACGAGAGUUUGUAAUCAGCCCGAAGUCGGUGAGGUAACCU
RNAcentral lists this ribosomal RNA (1069 nucleotides) under Bacillus subtilis. Its description in RNAcentral is "bacterial SSU rRNA". It matches the Rfam family "Bacterial small subunit ribosomal RNA", at positions 382 to 1441 of the family's 1533-position model. The record is from RNAcentral. Lineage: Bacteria; Bacillati; Bacillota; Bacilli; Caryophanales; Bacillaceae.